Molecule: non-coding RNA, 89 nt
Filed under: Candidatus Omnitrophota bacterium
Lineage: Bacteria; Pseudomonadati; Candidatus Omnitrophota
Description: Omnitrophica WOR c-di-GMP sequence
Rfam family: c-di-GMP-I riboswitch aptamer
About the family: GEMM was predicted in a large-scale screen for bacterial structured RNA regulatory elements.
Source: RNAcentral
UUGUGAAAAAGGCAAACUCAUCGUAAGAUGGGGACGCAAAACUAAAGGGCCUCAGCUCUCCAAGGAGAGAAGGGCAGCCAGCUCCCACA